Molecule: non-coding RNA, 1303 nt
Organism: Cucurbita pepo subsp. pepo (vegetable marrow)
Lineage: Eukaryota; Viridiplantae; Streptophyta; Magnoliopsida; Cucurbitales; Cucurbitaceae
Source: RefSeq, a predicted model, not a curated record
GAAGAAGAACAUGUUAAUUAAUCAAAUAUAAUCAAAGGGUAUCUUGAAGAGCUUUUGAGAGAUGUAAUCUAAGAAGCUUUUGCUCUGGGAAAACGAGAUUAUACAUUAAAUUAGAAAUAUAUUAAAGAAAAUCAACAGUUGAUUCAAGAAACUUGCUUCGUGCAUCCUACGAACACUUGGUAUCCAUUUUACCCACCGCUAACAAAUAUUAUUCUCUCGAGGUUUUUAAAACUUUUCUAGGUUUAGGUUUUCACGCCCUUAAAGAAGGCUUCAUUCUCAUCCCCAACCUUGAUAGGGAGAGGUUUCCACACCUUAAUGUUUCGGUUCUCAUCCCAACCCAACCGAUGUGGGAUCCAAUACUUUGUCUGAGAUUAGUUCUUGGCCAGAACUAUUAUAGUGUUCAACCUAUGCCUCCCUCAACUCAGAUUGCAACAUCCUAACCAAGCCUUUAUCCUCUUUGGAUUUAGUUGAGAUUGCUUAGAUAACUAACUGUUAGAACUGGAAAAUUGUGAGAAUUCAUGCCUACAUAAUUGUACUCGAUCAGAAUAAUUCAACGAACAACAUUUAAGAAUUUUCCCUUCCCUUGUUAUCUUUUGAGUUUUAGAGCCUUCCAAAGGCCUACAAAAAAUGAGAUUACUCAAAUCCCAUAAAUGAUGGAGCUACUAAAAUCAACAACAGAACAUCCUGUGGCAGAAAUCCAAUCAAAAUCCUAGCAACCAAAUACACACUACUAACUGCUGAAAGGAACCUCAAUUCUUAGUAUGAGUGAGUUUUCUAUUGAUCUGCUUCUUUUUGGUUGGUUGUACAAGUACUUAUUUUGAUUUGAGGUUGCAACACAAGUCUUCAAUAGACUUCAGAAAGGCUUGGAAAAGGAUUUUACGAUUACCGUGGGAACCCUCAAACAGCAUUUAACAAAUAAGGAACAAGAUCCCCAAUCUCUCCUUACACCUACUGCAUAUUCUUAACCCUAUCGUAGUGCAAAUUGAGCACUCUCUUUCUCUUUUGUUAAGCUAUAAGGUACAUACAAUCCUACGAUCAAAUUCUAGAUUGUUUGACUAAACCUCUACCUGCCUAUAAAUCCAACUUCUUCAACGAAAAUAUAAUCUGAAUGGCGCUCAAUCGUGGCGUCUGACACAUAAAACAUUCAAUCGAAGCUAACUGAUACAUAUAUAUGAUCGAAGUUACCGGUUUCAACGAGUUUGAGAAAUUAAAAAACGGAUGAGCAGAACGAAAACCUCAUGUAGGCAGAUAUAUGAUAAUUUGAGAAAUUAAAUUGUAUUUCAAAUAAAUGAAGAAUGAUGCA